GCCUUAGUAGUAUAAAAAUUACAUUGGUUUUGUAAACCAAAGACGGAGUAAUAUCCUCCCUAAGACA
Molecule: transfer RNA, 67 nt
Filed under: Isothrix sinnamariensis
Lineage: Eukaryota; Metazoa; Chordata; Mammalia; Rodentia; Echimyidae
Description: tRNA-Thr
Rfam family: tRNA
About the family: Transfer RNA (tRNA) molecules are approximately 80 nucleotides in length. Their secondary structure includes four short double-helical elements and three loops (D, anti-codon, and T loops).
Source: RNAcentral